This is a long non-coding RNA of Mytilus californianus (California mussel), 483 nucleotides long. RefSeq lists it as uncharacterized. The transcript is spliced from 3 exons. Lineage: Eukaryota; Metazoa; Mollusca; Bivalvia; Mytilida; Mytilidae. The record is from RefSeq and is a predicted model, not a curated record.
AACUGUUGUUCUUCACUACAUAUAAUGUAAAAGAGAUAUAUCUGGAUAUAGGAGUCGUGAAAGACCUAGCUAAUACAACGUCAACAUCAUAUUCUAUAGCUUACGAUGUGAAAGGACGAUAUGUGUAUGCUUCAAAAUAUCAUGAAAAUUCCAUAGUUAGAUUCCCUUAUCCAAAUGACCAAAAUGUAAAUUUUGAAAUUGUGGUCUCUGCAAACAAUCCAUUUGACGUAGCAUUUGACUCAGGGAACAGUCAUCUAUACUGGACAGAAUAUACAACUUUAGGAAUAAUAUUGAGAUGUAAUUCAGAUGGAUCCGAUUUAACCACCAUUGUUAAUGAAACCUUUCCAUUUGCACUUACAUUAGACACACAUAAUAGAUGGAUCUACUAUAGUCAAUUAGGCAGUAAUGCAUUACACAGGAUGACAUUUGAAGGAAAAGAAAAACAGGUAGUAAUACAACUGACAGCAUGGCCGGUAGAAAUAG